GAUCUGACCCUAGUACGAGAGGACCGGGUUGGACAUACCACUGGUGCACCGGUUGUUCUGCCAAGAGCAUCGCCGGGUAGCUAAGUAUGGAUGUGAUAACCGCUGAAAGCAUAUAAGCGGGAAGCCAACUCCAAGAUGAGUUUUCCCUGAAGGUCCGUUGGAGACUACAACGUUGAUAGGCUAGGGGUGUAAUUACAGUAAUGUAUUUAGCUGACUAGUACUAAUAGACCGUUUGGCUUACUUUCUUUCAU
This 251-nucleotide ribosomal RNA is filed under the name Campylobacterales bacterium. RNAcentral's name for it is "partial 23S ribosomal RNA". It matches the Rfam family "Bacterial large subunit ribosomal RNA", at positions 2669 to 2925 of the family's 2925-position model. The record is from RNAcentral. Lineage: Bacteria; Pseudomonadati; Campylobacterota; Epsilonproteobacteria; Campylobacterales.